Molecule: long non-coding RNA, 585 nt
Filed under: Parus major (Great Tit)
Lineage: Eukaryota; Metazoa; Chordata; Aves; Passeriformes; Paridae
Description: lncRNA (ENSPMJG00000007831.1)
Source: RNAcentral
AACCAAGACUGUCCUUUUCUUAGUGAGAGACAUAGCUGUUAGACUUUAGAAGCAUAGUCUCCUGCAUACCUUUUUUUUUUUUUUUUUUUUUCCUGUAUCAGUGAGACAUAUUUUACAGGAAAACACAGCAGUGAUUCAACUGAAAAGCUGAAGAAUGCCUUUUCUGCAGUCUGGUAGCUAGAUCAUUCUCAUGGGUGGUGGCAGAUGUAAAAGAGGACUUGUGUCUCCCACACGGGUCAAAAUCUACUUUUAAUUACAAUUUUCCGGUAACCUGCACUGCUGCUUGCCUAUAUCCCUCAGCUGAGCACUGUUGUGCUGCACAACAACAAUUUUCCCUUUUUCUUUUACCUAAGUUGGUGAACUAAUAUGUUGUGAAGGCUGAGAUUGAGCCACUGUUGCAAAUUGAGCUUUUGGAAGAGAGCAGCGGUGACAAUAUUCAUAUAAAUUAACUCCAUUAAAAAAGGGAACCUUUUUUGUGGAGGUUCACUGAUUGUUGCCAAAGUCAUACAGCUGGCCCUCUGCAUCCUUCUAGAAAAGCCUUAGCAAUAGCUAAGCAUCAUUUCUGACAGACCAGCGAGGUUUGGG